CCUACGGGUGGCAGCAGUGAGGAAUAUUGGUCAAUGGGCGGGAGCCUGAACCAGCCAAGUCGCGUGAGGGAAGACGGUCCUAUGGAUUGUAAACCUCUUUAGGCGGGGAGCAAUGCCGGGCACGCGUGCCCGGAGGGAGAGUACCCGCAGACUAAGCAUCGGCUAACUCCGUGCCGGCAGCCGCGGUAGUACGGAGGAUGCGAGCGUUAUCCGGAUUUAUGGGGUUAAACGGGUGCGUAGGGCGAGCGUUGAGUCACUGGUAAAAUUGAGGGUCUCAACUCCUUCCCGCCAUUGAAACUGGCGUUCUUGAGUGGAAGAGAAGUAAGCGGAAUGCGUGGUGUAGCGGUGAAAUGCAUAGAUAUCACGCAGAACCCCGAUUGCGAAGGCAGCAUGCCGGCUUCCGACUGACGCUGAAGCACGAAAGCGUGGGGAUCGAACAGGAUUAGAUACCCGGGUAGUC
Molecule: ribosomal RNA, 460 nt
Filed under: uncultured bacterium
Lineage: Bacteria
Description: partial 16S ribosomal RNA
Rfam family: Bacterial small subunit ribosomal RNA
Source: RNAcentral